This 300-nucleotide ribosomal RNA is filed under the name uncultured Acidocella sp. RNAcentral describes it as "bacterial SSU rRNA". It matches the Rfam family "Bacterial small subunit ribosomal RNA", at positions 114 to 425 of the family's 1533-position model. Lineage: Bacteria; Pseudomonadati; Pseudomonadota; Alphaproteobacteria; Acetobacterales; Acidocellaceae. The record is from RNAcentral.
CGCGUAGGAAUUUAUCUCUGGGUGGGGACCAACCGUGGGAAACGUUACGGCUAAUACCGCAUGAUGCCUGAGGGCCGAAAAGCAGUGAUGCGCCUGGAGAGGAGCCUGCGUCUGAUUAGCUUGUUGGUGGGGUAAAGGCCUACCAAGGCGACGAUCAGUAGCUGGUCUGAGAGGAUGAUCAGCCACAUUGGGACUGAGACACGGCCCAAACUCCUACGGGAGGCAGCAGUGGGGAAUAUUGGACAAUGGGGGCAACCCUGAUCCAGCAAUGCCGCGUGGGUGAAGAAGGUCUUCGGAUUG